RNAcentral lists this non-coding RNA (161 nucleotides) under Capsicum annuum. Its description in RNAcentral is "Eukaryotic small subunit ribosomal RNA". It matches the Rfam family "Eukaryotic small subunit ribosomal RNA", at positions 1667 to 1823 of the family's 1831-position model. Lineage: Eukaryota; Viridiplantae; Streptophyta; Magnoliopsida; Solanales; Solanaceae. The record is from Rfam by way of RNAcentral.
CACUGCCCAUUGCUCCUACUGAUUGAAUGAUUCGGUGAAAUAUUCAGAUCGUGGUGAUGCGGGUGGUUCACUACCCGCGACGUCGUGAGAAGUCCAUUAAACCUUAUCAUUUAGAGAAAGGAGAAGUCGUAACAAGUUUUCCAUAGGUGAACCUGCAGAAG